Scylla paramamosain (green mud crab) is the source of this 369-nucleotide long non-coding RNA. RefSeq lists it as uncharacterized. NCBI's taxonomy places the organism in Eukaryota, Metazoa, Arthropoda, Malacostraca, Decapoda, Portunidae. The record is from RefSeq and is a predicted model, not a curated record. The transcript has 3 exons.
CUUCGAAGACUGAGGGUCGAAGCUACCACGUGGAGCUUAGUGGGCUUGCAUUGCUGUUGUCAUCCAUUGGGGGCGAUCUGCACUGGGGCUCUGUUUCAUCUUCAGACGCCUAACUGUGGUGGCACCAUUCACUCAGAUGUACAAUCAGCGUCCAAGCAAAUGUCAGUGACUCGCUAUAAUCUGACAAUACAGCAACUACAUUCCAAAAGCACACUUGCUUGAAUUUUCCCAGGAGCAGAGUGCUGCAGCCACCAAUACACCACCUCUUUACACUGGUGCUUCUUACUUCAUGUUCUUGGAAGUUUAUUUAAUCACUUAUACACAAUUCUGGCAGGAUGGAAGAUCUUUGUGCAAGAUGUAUGUUUUUUC